AGAGUUUGAUCCUGGCUCAGAAUGAACGUUGGCGGCGUGGAUUAGGCAUGCAAGUCGAGCGAGAACCCGCAAGGGGGACAGCGGCGAACGGGGUAGUAAGGCGUAGGUGACGUGCCCUUAGGACCGGAAUAGCCACGGGAAACUGUGGGUAAUGCCGGAUAAUCUCUGGAUUUCAUUUUUCAGAGCAAUGGGUGUGAUUCCGCCUUUGGAGCGGCCUACGUGGUAUUAGCUAGUUGGUGAGGUAAUGGCUCACCAAGGCGACGAUGCCUAGGGGGUGUGAGAGCAUGGCCCCCACCACUGGGACUGAGAUACUGCCCAGACACCUACGGG
This 330-nucleotide ribosomal RNA is filed under the name uncultured soil bacterium. Its description in RNAcentral is "bacterial SSU rRNA". It matches the Rfam family "Bacterial small subunit ribosomal RNA", at positions 8 to 345 of the family's 1533-position model. The record is from RNAcentral.